Long non-coding RNA from Drosophila nasuta, 778 nucleotides. RefSeq lists it as uncharacterized. The record is from RefSeq and is a predicted model, not a curated record. The transcript is spliced from 3 exons. Lineage: Eukaryota; Metazoa; Arthropoda; Insecta; Diptera; Drosophilidae.
UUGACAGAUGAGAAAUAAAUGAAUGGUGGAAAUCUAUUGGAGAACUUAAUGUCAAUUCAACAGAGCUGGAAAUACGAAGCAGAGACACAAAGAUACGAGUAUGCAUGGAAUUUGGCGAGUUGGCAAAUUUGCAACCAGACACCAAGCUCGGCAAAGCAUUGAGGCAGAAAAACUGCAGUGGCAGCCAAUCAGAAAAAACCAAAAAAGAAAAAAGAAGACAAACAAGAGCAAAAGGAAUGUGAAACAACGUACAGUCGAACAAGGCGAACAAAAGGCAUCGAUAAAACGCGCUAAAAAUCGACUUGUAUGAUUUAUGAGCUAAAAGCUAAAAGGGGGGAGAAAGGAUAUGGAUAUGGAUUGAGGCUGAAUUGUUGUCAUCAUUUCAUUGUAUAAUCGCAAUCAAAAUGGACAUUAGAUGUAUUUCUUAUAGAACUACUUUCAAUGCAUAAAAUGUUGAUCUUUUUUGGUAUUCGAAUCGAUCCACAACGAGUAAAUUCAAAUAGGAGAGCAUUAAACACUCGCAAACGUUGUCUACAGGAUAUAUCGCAUAUGAUGAUGGCAAGAGCAGCGGAAACGGAAAUGGAGCUGGUGGAGCGCAUAAGGCGGCCAAUUGCCACGCCCAUCGGUCAUUGGGAAAAAAACACACACAAAAAAGGCGACAAAAAAUAAAGGCUGCGACUGCUCUCGUAUCGUGCUUGUUCAUUACGCGCCCGCGCGCAAACAAAAUCAAUGAAUGGUGUAAAAAUUAAUAUCCUGUGCGCAAAUAAAAAUUACAAAU